GUCAACUACCUCUCCCUGAAGGGAGAGGCUUGUAAACGCAAGCCAGGUUGACCAGGGAAAGCGGUAAACAACCCGCUACGUUGGCAACAG
Molecule: small RNA, 90 nt
Filed under: Halomonas cerina
Lineage: Bacteria; Pseudomonadati; Pseudomonadota; Gammaproteobacteria; Oceanospirillales; Halomonadaceae
Description: HNH endonuclease-associated RNA and ORF (HEARO) RNA
Rfam family: HNH endonuclease-associated RNA and ORF (HEARO) RNA
Source: RNAcentral